This 462-nucleotide ribosomal RNA is filed under the name Lecidella carpathica. RNAcentral's name for it is "eukaryotic LSU rRNA". It matches the Rfam family "Eukaryotic large subunit ribosomal RNA", at positions 140 to 607 of the family's 3401-position model. Lineage: Eukaryota; Fungi; Ascomycota; Lecanoromycetes; Lecanorales; Lecanoraceae. The record is from RNAcentral.
GAGUUGUAAUUCGCAGAGGACGUUUCGGGAGCGGCGCCGGUCUAAGUCCCUUGGAACAGGGCGUCAUAGAGGGUGAGAAUCCCGUAUGUGACCGGSGACCAACCCCAUGUGAAACCCCUUCGACGAGUCGAGUUGUUUGGGAAUGCAGCUCAAAAUGGGUGGUAUAUUUCAUCUAAAGCUAAAUACCGGCCAGAGACCGAUAGCGCACAAGUAGAGUGAUCGAAAGAUGAAAAGCACUUUGGAAAGAGAGUCAAACAGUACGUGAAAUUGUUGAAAGGGAAGCGCUGGCAACCAGACCUGUCCGCGGGCUUCAGCCCCCGUUCUCGGGGGUGUACUUGUCCGCGAUCAGGCCAGCAUCGGUUCGGGCGGUUGGAUAAAGGCCUUGGGAAUGUAGCUUCCCCCGGGAAGUCUUAUAGCCCUUGGUGCAAUGCGGCCAGCCCGGACCGAGGACCGCGCUCGGCU